UGGGGAAUAUUGGACAAUGGGCGAAAGCCUGAUCCAGCCAUGCCGCGUGAGUGAUGAAGGCCUUCGGGUUGUAAAGCUCUUUCAGGAGUGACGAUGAUGACGGUAACUCCAGAAGAAGCCCCGGCUAACUUCGUGCCAGCAGCCGCGGUAAUACGAAGGGGGCGAGCGUUGUUCGGAAUUACUGGGCGUAAAGGGCGUGUAGGCGGCCAACCAAGUUGGGGGUGAAAUCCCGGGGCUCAACCCCGGAACUGCCUCCAAAACUGGCUGGCUUGAGUACGGGAGAGGUGCAUGGAAUUCCCAGUGGAGAGGUGAAAUUCGUAGAGAUUGGGAAGAACACCAGCGGCGAAGGCGAUGCACUGGCCCGUUACUGACGCUGAGGCGCGAAAGCGUGGGGAGCGAACAGGAUUAGAUACCCCCGUAGUCC
RNAcentral lists this ribosomal RNA (424 nucleotides) under uncultured prokaryote. RNAcentral's name for it is "bacterial SSU rRNA". It matches the Rfam family "Bacterial small subunit ribosomal RNA", at positions 355 to 796 of the family's 1533-position model. The record is from RNAcentral.